RNAcentral lists this ribosomal RNA (939 nucleotides) under Lactiplantibacillus plantarum. RNAcentral describes it as "bacterial SSU rRNA". It matches the Rfam family "Bacterial small subunit ribosomal RNA", at positions 231 to 1174 of the family's 1533-position model. Lineage: Bacteria; Bacillati; Bacillota; Bacilli; Lactobacillales; Lactobacillaceae. The record is from RNAcentral.
CCGCGGCGUAUUAGCUAGAUGGUGGGGUAACGGCUCACCAUGGCAAUGAUACGUAGCCGACCUGAGAGGGUAAUCGGCCACAUUGGGACUGAGACACGGCCCAAACUCCUACGGGAGGCAGCAGUAGGGAAUCUUCCACAAUGGACGAAAGUCUGAUGGAGCAACGCCGCGUGAGUGAAGAAGGGUUUCGGCUCGUAAAACUCUGUUGUUAAAGAAGAACAUAUCUGAGAGUAACUGUUCAGGUAUUGACGGUAUUUAACCAGAAAGCCACGGCUAACUACGUGCCAGCAGCCGCGGUAAUACGUAGGUGGCAAGCGUUGUCCGGAUUUAUUGGGCGUAAAGCGAGCGCAGGCGGUUUUUUAAGUCUGAUGUGAAAGCCUUCGGCUCAACCGAAGAAGUGCAUCGGAAACUGGGAAACUUGAGUGCAGAAGAGGACAGUGGAACUCCAUGUGUAGCGGUGAAAUGCGUAGAUAUAUGGAAGAACACCAGUGGCGAAGGCGGCUGUCUGGUCUGUAACUGACGCUGAGGCUCGAAAGUAUGGGUAGCAAACAGGAUUAGAUACCCUGGUAGUCCAUACCGUAAACGAUGAAUGCUAAGUGUUGGAGGGUUUCCGCCCUUCAGUGCUGCAGCUAACGCAUUAAGCAUUCCGCCUGGGGAGUACGGCCGCAAGGCUGAAACUCCAAGGAAUUGACCGGGGCCCGCACAAGCGGUGGAGCAUGUGGUUUAAUUCGAAGCUACGCGAAGAACCUUACCAGGUCUUGACAUACUAUGCAAAUCUAAGAGAUUAGACGUUCCCUUCGGGGACAUGGAUACAGGUGGUGCAUGGUUGUCGUCAGCUCGUGUCGUGAGAUGUUGGGUUAGUCCCGCACGAGCGCACCCUAUAUCAGUGCCAGCAUUAGUGGGCACUCUGGUGAGACUGCCGGUGACAACCCGGAGAAG